This 23-nucleotide non-coding RNA is filed under the name Cricetulus griseus (Chinese hamster). The record is from RNAcentral. Lineage: Eukaryota; Metazoa; Chordata; Mammalia; Rodentia; Cricetidae.
GAGAAGGCAUGUGCGGACGAUGG